Molecule: long non-coding RNA, 3120 nt
Organism: Acanthisitta chloris (rifleman)
Lineage: Eukaryota; Metazoa; Chordata; Aves; Passeriformes; Acanthisittidae
Exons: 2
Source: RefSeq, a predicted model, not a curated record
AGGUAAGGUUCCCAUCACACUUCAGUUCAGACCUAAAGGACCUUCUAAGAAAUUUACUCCAGGUAGAUUUGACCAAACGAUAUGGAAAUCUCAAGAAUGGUGUAAAUGACAUAAAGAAUCACAAGUGGUUUGCAACUACAGAUUGGAUUGCCAUUUAUCAGAGAAAGGUAGAAGCUCCAUUCAUACCAAAGUGCAGAGGUCCUGGAGAUACCAGCAACUUCGAUGACUAUGAAGAAGAAGAUAUUCGUGCGUCUCUAACAGAAAAAUGUGCAAAAGAAUUUGCUGAUUUUUAGUAGGAGUAAGAGGACAAGAUGACAUCAGGGCUCACAUUGGGAUCUUUGCACUCUGUUAACAGAUGAGGUGGAGCUGAGACCAUCAUAUGUCAAAACAGUUACCUAGUUACUUCAUUCCACAAAGCUGACUGAGGUCUUUAUUGCCAUCUUCCAUGUGUGCAUUUUGCACCAACCCUUCUAACUAGGCACAAUUAAGCAAGCACUGUUUGUGCAGUAACACAGAAUAAUAGACCACUUUCCUACUUAACUUUGGUUUCUGUCGUUCUUUGUUUCUGUGUAUUGUUCAUUUUCCCCCUUUGAAAUGAAGUAGUUUUUUACCCAAGAAUGCUCCAUUUUAUUUUGAAUAAUGUAUUAUUUGUGUGAGUGAAAUGGAAGGUGUUGCGGCUAGUGUGAUUUAGACUGAAGUGAAAGAUAAAUGUUGCUUCUAGUCUGUGCCAGCCAAUAAUUCAUGUCUGUCUUGUGUCUGAUGCUACAAUUUAUAAUAAUUUUUUAGUAGCUCAGACUAAACCUAGCCAACAUUUUUAGCAUUUUUGAAGGUAGUAUUUAUCGCCAUAUAAAUGUCUGCUAAAUUAACUUAAAAACAUUUCUUCCUGGAGGCUGACCAAAAUUGAGUAGAAUCAAUUGGAUGGCUUAAGUAGGGGACAGUAGCUAGACCCCGUGCCUUGGUUUUCUACAUCCCUGCGGUUUUUGUCGCUGCCUCCUUCCUUCAUACUUCCCACCUAGGCAGUAGGUAAAUUGCCAUAACCAGACUGUACCAUGGAAAGCUUACAGUCUCAUGAGAGGGAGUAAUUCCACCUGGUCUGGAUUUUGGACAAUGUUCAAUCAAGUCAACUUACCAGCAUUUCAGUUGGCAGGUAUGAAAUAGCUUUUUUUAAGAUCUAGAACCCUAAACUCUUAAAGGAAGUUUUGGUCAGUAUUGUAGAGAAUAUGAUUCAUUUUGAUUCACUUUUUUUUUUCUUCUUUUUUUUUUUUAUUUAAAGUAGCCAAUGUUUGGGCUCCCAAAGUAUUCUUUGUUUGAAGCCUUUUUUGCUUCAGAAAGGCAUCCAUUAAAGUAAGAACCACCCUGCCACAAAAAGCAAAAUGCGCUCUGCCAUUAGCUAUGAAAAACAAAUGGUUUAGCAAAUGCAAAAUCUUGUUCUAGCUGCAUUGCUGGAUGAACACGGUUAUUUUCUGUUAGUUGUUAAGAAUAAGAGGUUAUUGCCAAGUUUUUAUUCUGGUAUACUAUAUUAGUAAACCGAGGAUGGAGUACUGCUACAAUCAUUUUCUUUUUAAUUACAGCACUUCAUUCAAGAAGAAAAGAGUUAAAGUUUAAAAACUGCAACAGCUGAGUUUAUUUUAGUUGCAUUGUGUCUUCAUUUCUAACCUACUUUCUUUCAAUCAAUCAGAAUGUAUGGUCACACAGAUACAAGUAUUUGGGUUUAAUUAUGUUUUGUAUACUCUCACCAACUGACUUAAAAGAUAUUGCUACCAUGUGCUAGCUUGGGGCACUUUUACACAUUUAUUUCAAUGUUAAUAAUCAGCGGCUCAGCACUUUUUUGGGGGUUGCUUUUAAACUUAUUCAUAGUAGUUUUAUUUGUACACUUGGUUCUGGCUGUCUCAGUGACCUGUCUUAAAACAGCACAUCUAAACAGUUUAAACUAGACUCAUAUUUUAUGAUAAAUUUACAUGCAUACAAGGAUGAAUUGUUUUUUAAAAACCUGAGCUAUAUUGGUACAUAGCCAUUGUAUUUGUUUGAAUGCCAGUGCAGAGAAACAUCUGGCAUUCCUUCCUUUUAAUCUGUACAACACUCCUGAAGGAAAAGCCUUUGUAGACAUUUUACAGAAGAGUAUGAAACGUACCACCCAAUGUUCUGUAUGUUUAGGUUGUUGAGCAUUUUUGCACAACGUCAUUAGGAGGCUGACACUGAAUGCAGUCUUUGUCCACCCAUAUUUACAUACGUGCAAGAAAAGUAUAAGAUACUUUGCUGUAGCAAAUUUUAUGUAACAAAGAUAUAUCGUCACAUGAAUAAAUUUAAAGAAAUCCUUUGUAUGAAAAUGUUAAAAUCUUUUGUAUUUCAUUUAGACCAAGGACAUGCUGCUGUAUGCUAGCUGUAUGCGAUAAAUUCUACAGUAACUUUAUUGUCGUUUAUGAACUUUAAAAGAUUUUAAUAAAUGUUGGAGAUCACAAUUUGAUUCUGUUAUGAUUUUAAUUUUUAAUCAUUACAUUUAUAAUUCUAGAAAGGUUCAGAGAUCUCUGUUUUGUAAAAUACUGUAAUCAUUCAUCUUGCGUGUACAAUAAGGUAAAAGUCUAGGAAAUUGGUUCUGACGUGUCUGUCUGAUAUCCAGAUUAAAUUCUAUAUGGGCAUAAGUGGAAAAGUCAUCAUAAUGCCAUGAUAUUAUGCUAUUUUUUAAUUUUCUGAAAAUCCUGUUACAAAGUAAAACACUUUUCCAAUAUGGCAUAAUAGACUUCAGUAUGGAAAUGAGAUUCUAUUUUGGAAAAUGAGGGGAAGUGUGCAAUUUCCAAGGCAUUAGUGAGUACAUUUGACAAUGUGAGUAUUAUACAACCCUCUCAUUUAAACACAGUCAUGAAAUAUAACUACAGAAUAUUAUGUUACCUGUAUUUAAUUUGAGAACUCCUUUUCACAAUAUGGAAAAAUUGUAUAUCUAUGACAGUAGAAGCUUGUUAAUUUUACACAUUUGAGGAAUUAAGUGUUGAACUAUAUGGUAUAUUUUAAUUGUACUCUAGUUGUAUGUAACUUUCAUUUCCAACAUAAAGGAUUGUAUCUCAUUAAGUAAAUUGCUUUUUUUAUUAUCUUGUCAGUUGCAUUAAAACCCUUAUUUUUAAAUCC